Molecule: long non-coding RNA, 766 nt
Organism: Panicum hallii
Lineage: Eukaryota; Viridiplantae; Streptophyta; Magnoliopsida; Poales; Poaceae
Exons: 2
Source: RefSeq, a predicted model, not a curated record
AUACACAGGCUGAGUGGAGGUGAUGGAUGGUCUCAUCGUCUUGUUCACAGAGGGGGCAAUGCUCUGGAUGAGGGAGUCCUCUCCUGGCCAAUCUGUCCGCUGACCAGCAGCGGUUAUGAGCCACCAGCCAUAGGAAGAACAUGCAUUUUUUCGGAGCCCAAGUUCCCCAAAUCAGUUUGCUUGGUGCAAAGUAUACUGAUCCACUCAAAAAAGCCUCAGAUCUAGUGGUGAAUUGCCAGAGGCCUCUAAUUGCCAUUUAUGCACAUCUUCCACCUCUGGCUGUAAUAUUACUUCCUGAACCAAAUCCCACACAGCAAGGAAUUAUGAAGUUCCUGUUUGGUUAGCUCAAAAUUGCAGCAGUAUCAUCCGCUGAUUUGUCGAUUCAUGGCUUUGUUCCUUUUGCACAUAUAUUGUCUUAUUAGGCUUCCAUCUGUGCUGUGCGAUGGAUGGCAUGGUGUACAAGCUCGGUGACAGCCACAGAGGCAGGUGGUGGGUGGGAGAUCUUGGUCGCAGGAAUUGGCACUGGGCGGUCGAGCUCCUCUGCGAGCUUAGGGGGCUGGGUGGCUGUCUGUUGAUCUAGUUUGAUAGAGCAGACAGCAAGCAUAGGAUAAGGAUGAAGAUAACUUAGUCAUACCACAUCAUGCGGUAUUGUGUGUGUAUUUUUCUUUUAUUUUGUGUAAAAAAUCAAGUUGAAGUAACCAGCUGGCUCGAAACAGUGGCAAACGGAGAUGAAAUAUGAGCAUUUCAGUAGCGAAUUUGCAAUUAA